RNAcentral lists this ribosomal RNA (393 nucleotides) under uncultured bacterium. Its description in RNAcentral is "partial 16S ribosomal RNA". It matches the Rfam family "Bacterial small subunit ribosomal RNA", at positions 523 to 918 of the family's 1533-position model. The record is from RNAcentral.
AUACGGAGGAUCCGAGCGUUAUCCGGAUUUAUUGGGUUUAAAGGGAGCGUAGAUGGAUGUUUAAGUCAGUUGUGAAAGUUUGCGGCUCAACCGUAAAAUUGCAGUUGAUACUGGAUAUCUUGAGUGCAGUUGAGGCAGGCGGAAUUCGUGGGGUAGCGGUGUAAUGCUUAGAUAUCACGAAGAACUCCGAUUGCGAAGGCAGCCUGCUAAGCUGCAACUGACAUUGAGGCUCGAAAGUGUGGGUAUCAAACAGGAUUAGAUACCCUGGUAGUCCACACGGUAAACGAUGAAUACUCGCUGUUUGCGAUAUACUGCAAGCGGCCAAGCGAAAGCGUUAAGUAUUCCACCUGGGGAGUACGCCGGCAACGGUGAAACUUAAAGGAAUUGACGGGG